CUUAUGUCGAGUCCCUCCCAGUCUGAUUGCCAUUAGAAUCAGUCUCAGGUCGAGUCCCUCCCAGUCUGGUUGCCAUUAGAGUCAGUCUUAGGUCGAGUCCCUCCCAGUCUGGUUGCCAUCAGAGUCAGUCUCAGGUUGAGUCUGACCCCAUCUGGUUGCCAUUAGAGUCAGGUCUACUCCCUCCCAAUCUGGUUGCUUUUUGAGUCAGUCCCAGGUCUAGUCCUUCCCAAUCUGAUUGCAAUUAGAGCCCAGUCAGUCUCAGGUCGAGUCCUUCCCAAUCUGGUUGCCAUUAGAGCCCAGUCAGUCUCAGGUCGAGUCCUUCCCAAUCUGGUUGCCAUUAGAGCCCAGUC
Molecule: long non-coding RNA, 350 nt
Organism: Oncorhynchus tshawytscha (Chinook salmon)
Lineage: Eukaryota; Metazoa; Chordata; Actinopteri; Salmoniformes; Salmonidae
Source: Ensembl